This is a microRNA precursor of Homo sapiens (human), 72 nucleotides long. Ensembl annotates it as microRNA 3689e. The record is from Ensembl. Lineage: Eukaryota; Metazoa; Chordata; Mammalia; Primates; Hominidae.
GGGAGGUGUGAUAUCAUGGUUCCUGGGAGGUAUGAUAUCGUGGUUCCUGGGAGGUGUGAUCCCGUGCUCCCU